GAUGAACGCUAGCGGCAGGCUUAAUACAUGCAAGUCGAGGGGCAUCAAGGUACACGAAAGUGUAUUGUUGGCGACCGGCGGACGGGUGAGUAAUAGGUAGGUAACCUACCUCAUACUGAGGCAUAGCUGGGAGAAAUUCCAGGUAAUUCCUCAUGAGGUUAUAUGACACAUGUGAUAUAAUCAAAGGUAUCGCAAGGUACUGGUAUGAGAUGGGCUUACUGACCAUUAGCUAGUUGGUGAGAUAAGAGCUCACCAAGGCGAAGAUGGUUAGGGGUUUUGAGAGAGAGAUCCCCCACAUUGGAACUGAGAUACGGUCCAGACUCCUACGGGAGGCAGCAGUAGGGAAUAUUGGGCAAUGGGCGAAGCCUGACCCAGCCAUGCCGCGUGAAGGAAGACGGCCUUAAUGGGUUGUAAACUUCUUUACUAUGCGACUAACUAGAUUUUACGAGAUAAUUCUAAUAGAAUGUAGCAUAGCAAAAGCACCGG
This 486-nucleotide ribosomal RNA is filed under the name uncultured bacterium. Its description in RNAcentral is "bacterial SSU rRNA". It matches the Rfam family "Bacterial small subunit ribosomal RNA", at positions 28 to 496 of the family's 1533-position model. The record is from RNAcentral.